UUAAAAUCAAGAGCAAGUAUAUUGACUUACUAAAAAAAUUUCUUAUUAUGGUGCGCUCUUGCUGUAUUAAGGUAAAAAGGAGUAAAUGGUGGCACGUAUUGCAGGUAUAAAUAUUCCAGCC
Regulatory RNA element from Rickettsiales bacterium Ac37b, 121 nucleotides. It matches the Rfam family "Alpha operon ribosome binding site". Rfam says of the family: The bacterial alpha operon ribosome binding site is surrounded by this complex pseudoknotted structure. Translation of the mRNA produces 4 ribosomal protein products, one of which (S4) acts as a translational repressor by binding to the nested pseudoknot region. NCBI's taxonomy places the organism in Bacteria, Pseudomonadati, Pseudomonadota, Alphaproteobacteria, Rickettsiales. The record is from Rfam.